GCAGGUUUCCAUCCAUGGCGCAGACGACAGUGGUUAGCUUGCGAGAUGUGAAUGUAUUGAGUGAAAAUCUGCGACAGUUUUUGUAGCGUGGAUGCAGCAGAAUGGCGGAUAGCAUAGUGGAAGGAUGGCUUCGUUCUUUGAACCUUGUACACUACACACAAGCGUUCUUAGACAAUGGUUAUGACGACUUGGAAGUGUGUAAACAAGUCGGAGAGGCGGAUUUGGAUGCGAUCGGUGUCACCAAGCACGAUCACCGAGAAAAGCUCCUGCGCGCCGUACGGAUACUGAAAGAGGAGGGAGGAACGGCAGUGUAUUUCACAUUGGAGGACCCUAUCUCGUCGGAAAACAGUUAUGAGGAGACAGUCGUGUUCGCGGACCUGGGCCCUGCCCCAGAAUCCCCACCACAAGGCCUGAGCGCCGAGGCCUACGACGCUGGGAAGACAGCCCUGUUGACGUACCCUAAACUCCAACUCAAACAUAUAUUGAGGGACAAGUUAGUUGAAGAUGAGAUCGACUUGUCUAAUCCGCCAUUCACCACGACGGAAAACACCUUGUGCCAAAGUAGCCUGACUGCACUGGCUGUCAAAUAUGCAAAAGAAAUCAAAACCCACUUUGCUGAUGUAUGGGACCGACUGGAAGACCUGUGGAAGGUGGCCCAGGAUAUCGACAACUUUCAGAGUGUAUGCAGGAGUCCUAUGCACAGUAUCUAUGGUGGAUCAAGUCUGUACUGGCUUCUCUCCCCGUGGAGUACCGCCGCCUCUUCCCUCUUGUCCCCCGCCAUCCACCAGCCAUGUUGACAGAAUGCCGGAGCUCCCCAUCUCGCCAUAUGGGUACAGUCAGGAGAACUAUGUGGCCAUCGAUGGAGAUGUACGGGACACUGUGCUGUCGGAGGGCAAGAAAUCAUCCUCAUUGGGCAAAUUUUUACGAAAUAUUGGGAUACGUCGGUCAGGAAGAAAGAACUCUUACAAACAACAUUCAG
This 979-nucleotide unclassified non-coding RNA is filed under the name Haliotis rubra (blacklip abalone). RNAcentral describes it as "uncharacterized LOC124291439, transcript variant X3". Lineage: Eukaryota; Metazoa; Mollusca; Gastropoda; Lepetellida; Haliotidae. The record is from RNAcentral.